UCUGUAGGGCUUGAGAAUGUGAUGUCAUGCAGACUUUUUGGGUUUUGAACAGUUAGGAGACAUUAAAAUACUUCACUUGGCUAACCUUAUUUAGUCACAGGGACAUUGCAAGGGCGGGUUUAGAGAGUUUAAGCUCCUCCCCUCCUAAAUAAUGUAUUACAUUAUUAAUUUAAAUCCUUAGUAGUUUUCCUCAUUCAGCCUUCAUUACCUCAACCUUAUGAUCGCAUUUUCUAAUUCAUAAUAUACUGAGGAUGGGCAGGGCACUAGGACCUGGGGGAGGCUGUUGCUGCUACUCUGAUCCAACAUUUCCUUGGCUGUGUUACUCGCAAGAGUAAAGACUGUAAGUUGAGAGUUAAGGGCCUUGUCCAAAGUCUUAACCACUGAGCUACGACUGCCCAAUACUUGCGUGGACGAAGUUCCUUGUAUUCAGAGAUGGGUUACGCAGCUGCUUAAGUGGAUUUUCUGACUCUACGAUCCAAACAUGCAUCAGUGACAUGCAGCCUGAGCAAACCUCAUCUUCAGGUCCUUCUCGCAAAGAUGGAGAUUCUCGUCACGAUGCGAACCAGUUGUGAAAACCCCCAUGAUAUCAUCACCAUCAGAACCGGUUCCUCAGCAAUAUCAUCUAACGCAGGAGCCAUGGGGUACUGACUGAUCUUCAUAGAUCAAGGUGGUGCUCAACUCCUAGUGCAGGUCUUCGUCAUGUUUGUCUUCUGUGCAUUAAGGCUUCAGGAGCUGGUACACACUUACAUACAGCCCACCUACAUUCAGCUAAAGACUGGUGGAGUGGAAGGGGGGUGUUUUAUCGAGGCCCACGAUUUCUAGCCUUGCUCCUGUCCCUACUGUUCAUUCUGUCCUCAUUGGUUUGGGAAUUAAUAUCGUCAGGAGCCUCAGUCAUUACACAGUUUAAAGUCCAUCAGCCUCACUCCCUUGAGACCUUCGAGGAGAAUCUCCUGCUCUUCUGUGAGCACUUGAUCUUUGAAUGAUGAGCUCUUGUGCACCAACUCAUCCACCAUAUCUGUAUUGUGUUUGUAUUUCAAUCUCUCACUUCAUGUCAUGCAGCAUUUGCUUGAAUUGCUUCUUUUUUUAAUCCUUGAGUGGUACUGUGCAUCUUUUAUCUCUUGGUGCUUCUCUACACUUUCUUAUCUAACUGUUGCUGAGCUCUUACUGUAGCUGCUCUCUGAUUAUAGCUUAAACAGUUCCAUGUAGAGAGGAACCCUUGGAGGAACCCUGUGUGGAAUGGUUUCCAUUUCAGCUUCAAAAAGAAAUCCUUUAGAAAUCUAAGAUUGUUAAACGUUGGAAAAACCUUUUUAGGAGCCAUUUUUCUAAUGAAAGUGUGGAAAAUUAAACAUAAAAAUGUUAACAUUAGCACUAAUCAGGCUCACGUGUCUGCAAUGGUUAAUAUUGUAACAUCAGUACUGGGUCAGAAGCUGACCUGCUGAAGAUUCCUGGUGUUUGUAAUGGAAAAAAAAAGCCUCAUUUCUGGUCAGCUGCCUACGCCCCCGUGUUCUGUUCCUCAUUAGUCACAAUCAGAGAUUUCUGAGAUUUAAUCUGUCUUUAAUCUGUCUAACCGAGUCCAGACGCUCGGCGUAGAGCGUGUGAGUUAUUUCAUGUGUGAGGAUGACCGCGGAUUGCUUUACACUCUACACUGGAUCUUUAUGGCCAUUAAAUUCGACACUCUCCUUUUUUUUCGCUGAAAUGUUGGCAAGACGUCGGAGAAUUCCGAUGCGAGAUUUCUUUCUUUUUUUCCUUCCCAACAUUUGGAAACAAUGAAAUCCAAAAGCACACUUAAGCAUAAUAAUAAGGAGAAGAAUACAGCCCAGUUUAAAUUGUCCGUGCACCCUGACGGCCCAAUAAAAACCCAUUAAAUUUGUCUAACACCCCCCAAUUAUAGUGAUUUAUAACGUGUGUCCACUGUAGCAGGUUGAUCCUCUCGCAAAAAAAAUAAAUAAAUAAAAUAAAAUUCUCUGUGUUUUUCACUCAGUGUUUUUCAGACAAGCUCACAGAUUUCACAGUGAUGGUAUCGAGUCUCGUCACAAAAUCAGACACCCGAUUUCAGCGCCAAAGUCAACACUCUGAAAGUAAACACCGUCUCGUAAAAUAGCUUAACGAGAUAAAAGUUGUGUCUCAGAGGGGAAAUAGCGUACGAACGUCCCAUCAGGAGGUCGGCUUUAAAAACAGAAUCAUCACGCCACACGGAGAACGUUAACACGACCU
Molecule: long non-coding RNA, 2214 nt
Organism: Pangasianodon hypophthalmus (striped catfish)
Lineage: Eukaryota; Metazoa; Chordata; Actinopteri; Siluriformes; Pangasiidae
Exons: 3
Source: RefSeq, a predicted model, not a curated record